UAAAAAAUGAGUAUUUUGUUAAAAAAGUGGAAUGUGGGUAAAUUGUAGCCGGUUAUAAGUGGAGUGGAACUCGCGUCAUUUGUAACUUCUUCUAUGUGACGGUCUCAUAGCCCGUUUCCAGUUUCAUUCCUCGUUCAACAUUGUCAAUCUACAAUCAUCUUCUCGUUGUCAAUCAGAGUCAGGUUUCUCUAACGCCAGGUUCAAUCGGCCAUUACCUGCUUGAUCUCGCAACGAUGUCAGAACAACCUUUUAGACCCCGAGAGCUUCUCCUUGAGAAGCAAAAAUAUUUCCAAAACAUCCAUAGGCACACAUAUCUGAAAGGACCUUAUGACAAGAUCACUUCUGUCGCCAUUCCUUUAGCUUUGGCAGCCAGUUCAUUGUAUCUUAUUGGUCGGGGAAUUUACAAUAUGUCCCAUGGGAUAGGAAAGAAGGAAUGAGGAGGCUGAUGGGCUACAUGUUUUCUGUUUUCUGCUUAUAUUUUAAAGGACGUUGUUUGUUUUCUGCUACAUUUUACAGGCUACUAAGUUUUUUUUGUUUAGUGCCUCCAAUAAUUGCGUAGUUGCAGACACGUAGCUACCAAUGGAAGCUGACACUGCAAUGUCGAUGGUUGCAUUUUCUGAAUCGUUAAUAAUUCAUCUUUGAAGAUUAAAUGUGUCAGUUUUUUCUCAUUGAUAAACUAUGCGAGACAAGUCUUUUGUUUUCUCUACUUUGUGUGCCUAUAAAGUGUCAAUUUCUUGGCUUGAAGGCAUGGAAAUACGAGUAUAACUAAGCUUUUCUCUUGA
Non-coding RNA from Jatropha curcas, 782 nucleotides. NCBI's taxonomy places the organism in Eukaryota, Viridiplantae, Streptophyta, Magnoliopsida, Malpighiales, Euphorbiaceae. The record is from RefSeq and is a predicted model, not a curated record.